Molecule: ribosomal RNA, 231 nt
Filed under: Triticum aestivum (bread wheat)
Lineage: Eukaryota; Viridiplantae; Streptophyta; Magnoliopsida; Poales; Poaceae
Description: partial small subunit ribosomal RNA
Source: RNAcentral
AAAUGGAAUGGCUCUCUUAGUUACGCUGUGCCCCGACCCGAGUCCCCACGUCCGCUUUUAUCCGCCCGCAACCUGGCCAACACAACAUUAGGGUCGCCCCCAUUCUAUGCUGACCCGGGCCGGGGCUCGCUUUUUGGGAAGCCCGUUCCCACCGUGCUCACGGCUCGGCUGGAGCUUUUGAAAACGCAGUGCACCCAGGUAAAUAAGGAACAAGAUGAAUACAGAAGUUAA